RNAcentral lists this ribosomal RNA (253 nucleotides) under uncultured bacterium. RNAcentral's name for it is "partial 16S ribosomal RNA". It matches the Rfam family "Bacterial small subunit ribosomal RNA", at positions 524 to 776 of the family's 1533-position model. The record is from RNAcentral.
GACAGAGGGUGCAAACGUUGUUCGGAAUUACUGGGCGUAAAGCGCGUGUAGGCGGCCCUGCAAGUCGGAUGUGAAAUCCCACGGCUCAACCGUGGAAGUGCAUUCGAAACUGCAGGGCUAGAGUCCUGGAGAGGAAGGUGGAAUACUUGGUGUAGAGGUGAAAUUCGUAGAUAUCAAGCGGAACACCGGUGGCGAAGGCGGCCUUCUGGACAGUGACUGACGCUGAGACGCGAAAGCGUGGGGAGCAAACAGG